This 429-nucleotide ribosomal RNA is filed under the name Acidobacteriota bacterium. RNAcentral's name for it is "Acidobacteria bacterium partial 16S ribosomal RNA". It matches the Rfam family "Bacterial small subunit ribosomal RNA", at positions 355 to 776 of the family's 1533-position model. The record is from RNAcentral. Lineage: Bacteria; Pseudomonadati; Acidobacteriota.
UGGGGAAUUUUGGACAAUGGGGGAAACCCUGAUCCAGCCAUCCCGCGUGUGCGAUGAAGGCCUUCGGGUUGUAAAGCACUUUUGGCAGGAAAGAAACGUCAUGGGUUAAUACCCCGUGAAACUGACGGUACCUGCAGAAUAAGCACCGGCUAACUACGUGCCAGCAGCCGCGGUAAUACGUAGGGUGCAAGCGUUAAUCGGAAUUACUGGGCGUAAAGCGUGCGCAGGCGGUUCGGAAAGAAAGAUGUGAAAUCCCAGAGCUCAACUUUGGAACUGCAUUUUUAACUACCGGGCUAGAGUGUGUGAGAGGGAGGUGGAAUUCCGCGUGUAGCAGUGAAAUGCGUAGAUAUGCGGAGGCACACCGAUGGCGAAGGCAGCCUCCUGGGAUAACACUGACGAUCAUGCACGAAAGCGUGGGGAGCAAACAGG